GCUGGCGGUGCGCCUUAUGCAUGCAAGUCGAGCGAAGCUUUUCAGUAGUUUACUACUGAAAAUGACUGAGCGGCGAACGGGUGAGUAACGCGUGAGCAACCUACCUUAGUUACUGGGAUAGCCCGAGGAAACUCGGAUUAAUACCGGAUAUUCUUAUUUAAUCGCAUGAUUUUUUAAGGAAAGGUCAGCCGAACUAAGAUGGGCUCGCGUUCUAUCAGCUAGUUGGUAGGGUAAUAGCCUACCAAGGCUACGACGGAUAGCUGGUCUGAGAGGACGAUCAGCCACACUGGGACUGAGACACGGCCCAGACUCCUACGGGAGGCUGCAGCAGGGAAUAUUGCGCAAUGAGCGAAAGCUUGACGCAGCGACACCGCGUGUGGGAUGACGGAUCUAGGUUUGUAAACCACUUUCAGGAGGGAAGAAAAUGACGGUACCUCCACAAGAAGCCCCGGCCAACUACGUGCCAGCAGCCGCGGUAAUACGUAGGGGGCGAGCGUUGUCCGGAUUUAUUGGGCGUAAAGAGCUCGUAGGCGGUUCAACAAGUCGGUCGUGAAAGUUCAGGGCUCAACCCUGAAAUGUCGAUCGAUACUGUUGUGACUAGGAUACGGUAGAGGUGAGUGGAAUUCCGAGUGUAGCGGUGAAAUGCGUAGAUAUUCGGAGGAACACCAAUUGCGAAGGCAGCUCACUGGGCCGCUAUCGACGCUGAGGAGCGAAAGCUAGGGGAGCAAACAGGAUUAGAUACCCUGGUAGUCCUAGCUGUAAACGAUGGAUACUAGACGUAGGAAUUGGAUUAACGAUUUCUGUGUCGUAGCUAACGCGUUAAGUAUCCCGCC
Molecule: ribosomal RNA, 833 nt
Filed under: uncultured bacterium
Lineage: Bacteria
Description: bacterial SSU rRNA
Rfam family: Bacterial small subunit ribosomal RNA
Source: RNAcentral